This 1904-nucleotide ribosomal RNA is filed under the name human gut metagenome. RNAcentral's name for it is "bacterial LSU rRNA". It matches the Rfam family "Bacterial large subunit ribosomal RNA", at positions 1 to 1969 of the family's 2925-position model. The record is from RNAcentral.
CAAAGGGCGUACAGUGGAUGCCUAGGCACCGAAAGACGAAGAAGGACGCGACUACCUGCGAAAAGCUGCGGCGAGUUGGACGUAAACUUUGACCCGCAGAUGUCCGAAUGGGGAAACCCGAUAUGCUAACUACAUAUCAUACGAGCGGUGAAUACAUAGCCGCCGUAAGGCAACCCAGGGAAUUGAAACAUCUUAGUACCUGGAGGAAAAGAAAGAGAAUCGAUUCCGUCAGUAGCGGCGAGCGAAAGCGGAAGAGCCCAAACCAAGAAAUUGGGGUUCGGGGUUACAAAGAAUCAUGACGAAGAAGAAGAAGUGUUUGGAAUGGCACAUCUAAGAGGGUGAAAAUCCCGUAUUCGUAAGAGAGUCAUGGUCGUAACUACCAGAGUAGGGCGGGGCACGUGAAACCCUGUCUGAAUGAGCGGAGACCACUCCGUAAGGCUAAAUACUCUUCGGUGACCGAUAGUGAACCAGUACCGUGAGGGAAAGGUGAAAAGAACCCCGGGAGGGGAGUGAAAAGAAUCUGAAACUGUAUGCUUACAAGAUGUCAGAGACCGUUAAAGGUUGAUGACGUGCCUAUUGAAGAAUGAGCCGGCGAGUUAUGUAUACAUGCGAGGUUAAGGAGAAGAUCCGGAGCCGUAGCGAAAGCGAGUCUGAAUAGGGCGUUCAGUAUGUGUAUGUAGACCCGAAACCCGACGAUCUAGCCAUGAUCAAGAUGAAGUAAGGGUCAAACCUUAUGGAGGUCUGAACCGACGUUCGUUGAAACGACCGCGGAUGAAUUGUGGCUCGUGGUGAAAUUCCAAUCGAGUCGGGUAAUAGCUGGUUCUCCUCGAAAUAGCUUUAGGGCUAGCCUCAGAACACUACAUUUUGGAGGUAGAGCACUGAAUGAAAGCGAGCCGCGCCAAGCGGUAUCAAUUUCAAUCAAACUCCGAAUUCCGAGAUGCUUAUUCUGGGAGUCAGACUGUGGGAGAUAAGUUUCAUGGUCAAAAGGGCAACAGCCCGGACCGCCAACUAAGGUCCCUAAAUUCGCGCUAAGUGUUAAAGGAUGUAGAGAUACUUAAACAGCUAGGAUGUUGGCUCAGAGGCAGCCAUCAUUUAAAGAAUGCGUAACAGCUCACUAGUCAAGUGUCUCCGCGCCGAAAAUUUACCGGGGCUAAGCGCGAUACCGAAGUUGCGGAUAUUUCUAAAGAAAUGUGGUAGGGGAGCGUUCCAUUAGCAUAGAAGCCAUACCGGAAGGAGUGGUGGAGCGAAUGGAAGUGAGAAUGCCGGCGUAAGUAACGAUAAGAGGUGAGAAUCCUCUUCACCAUUUGACUAAGGUUUCCUGGGCUAGGUUCGUCCACCCAGGGUCAGUCGGGACCUAAGACGAGGCCGAAAGGCGUAGCCGAUGGACAGCAGGUUAAUAUUCCUGAACCCGGUUGUGUGCGAUCGCAGUGACGAAAGCGGUUAGGUUUACCCACGAAUGGAAGUGUGGGGAGAUAGUGAUAAGCUGUCGGCUAGAAUCCGACACCAAGUGAAACACCGAAGUACGAAAGGGGUGACCUGAGUAGGAAGUAGCUGAUACCGAUUUCCAAGAAAAGCUGCUAGCUUAAGCACAAUCGGCCCGUACCGAGAACGGACACACGUGGUCAAGGAGAGUAUCCUAAGGUGAGCGAGAUAACUGUUGUUAAGGAACUCUGCAAAAUUACUUCGUAAGUUAGCGAGAAGAAGUGCUCCGUAAAAGGAGCCGCAGUGAAGAGGCCCAAGUAACUGUUUACCAAAAACACAGCUCUAUGCUAAGUCGUAAGACGAUGUAUAUGGGGUGAAGCCUGCCCGGUGCCGGAAGGUUAAUAGGAGAGGUGAAAGCUUUGAAUUGAAGCCCCGGUGAACGGCGGCCGUAACUAUAACGGUCCUAAGGUAGCGAAAUUCCU